Molecule: ribosomal RNA, 375 nt
Filed under: uncultured bacterium
Lineage: Bacteria
Description: bacterial SSU rRNA
Rfam family: Bacterial small subunit ribosomal RNA
Source: RNAcentral
GACGAACGCUGGCGGCGUGCUUAACACAUGCAAGUCGAGCGGUAAGGCCCUUUCGGGGGUACACGAGCGGCGAACGGGUGAGUAACACGUGGGUGACCUGCCCUCAGCUCUGGGAUAAGCCUGGGAAACUGGGUCUAAUACUGGAUAUGACUCCACGGUGCAUGUCGUGGGGUGGAAAGCCUUGUGCGGCUGAGGAUGGGCCCGCGGCCUAUCAGCUUGUUGGUGGGGUGAUGGCCUACCAAGGCGACGACGGUAGCCGGCCUGAGAGGGCGACCGGCCGACACUGGGACUGAGACACGGCCCAGACUCCUACGGGAGGCAGCAGUGGGGAAUCUUGCGCAAUGGGCGAAAGCCUGACGCAGCGACGCCGCGUGA